Molecule: ribosomal RNA, 645 nt
Filed under: Lates calcarifer (barramundi perch)
Lineage: Eukaryota; Metazoa; Chordata; Actinopteri; Centropomidae
Description: partial 16S ribosomal RNA
Rfam family: Bacterial large subunit ribosomal RNA
Source: RNAcentral
AAGCAAAGAGCAUCUUUAGUUUGGCACCCCGAAACUAGUGUGAGCUACUCCAAGACAGCCUAUUCAAUAGGGCAAACCCGUCUCUGUGGCAAAAGAGUGGGAAGAGCUUUGAGUAGAGGUGACAGACCUACCGAACCUAGUUAUAGCUGGUUGCCUGAGAACUGGAUAGAAGUUCAGCCUCCCGGCUUCUCCAUAACCCGCGAGAGUUAUUCUAAGGAGGUACAGCUCCUUUGAACCAAAAUACAAUUUUAUAAGGAGGGUAAAGAUCAUAAUCUUAACCAAGGCAGAAUGUCCUAGUGGGCCUAAAAGCAGCCACCCCUUUCAGAAAGCGUUAAAGCUCAGACAUACUAUCCCGAUAAUCUAAUCUUAACCCCCUAGCCCUAUCAGGCCGUUCCAUGCAAACAUGGAAGCGAUAAUGCUAACAUGAGUAACAAGAGGAGCUCCUCUCCCAGCACACGUGUACAUCGAAACGGACCAACCACCGAAACUUAACGGCCCCAAACAAAGAGGGAAUUGAAAGACUACUAGAAAAUCAUCCACCGUUAACCCCACACUGGUGUGCCAUUAAAGGAAAGACUAAAAGAAAAAGAAGGAACUCGGCAAACAAGCCUCGCCUGUUUACCAAAAACAUCGCCUCUUGUAACC